Molecule: ribosomal RNA, 384 nt
Filed under: uncultured prokaryote
Description: bacterial SSU rRNA
Rfam family: Archaeal small subunit ribosomal RNA
Source: RNAcentral
GCGAAAACUUUACAAUGCUGGCAACAGCGAUAAGGGAACCUCGAGUGCCAGGUUACAAAUCUGGCUGUCGAGAUGCCUAAAAAGCAUUUCAUAGCAAGGGCCGGGCAAGACCGGUGCCAGCCGCCGCGGUAACACCGGCGGCUCGAGUGGUAACCGUUAUUAUUGGGUCUAAAGGGUCUGUAGCCGGCCGGAUAAGUCUCUUGAGAAAUCUGGCAGCUUAACUGUCAGGCUUUCAGGAGAUACUGUCUGGCUCGAGGCCGGGAGAGGUGAGAGGUACUUCAGGGGUAGGGGUGAAAUCUUGUAAUCCUUGAAGGACCGACAGUGGCGAGGGCGUCUCACCAGAACGGACCUGACGGCAAGGGACGAAAGCUAGGGGCACGAACC